RNAcentral lists this unclassified non-coding RNA (164 nucleotides) under uncultured Daldinia. Its description in RNAcentral is "sequence contains ITS2". Lineage: Eukaryota; Fungi; Ascomycota; Sordariomycetes; Xylariales; Xylariaceae. The record is from RNAcentral.
CAACCCUUAAGCCUAGCUGCUUAGUGUUGGGAAUCUGCCCUGCAUCUGCAGCGCAGUUCCUUAAAGUAAUCGGCGGAGUUAGGGCAUACUCUAAGCGUAGUAAUAUUUCUUCUCGCUUCUGUAGUUGUCCUGGCGGCUUGCCGUUAAACCCCUAUAUUUCUAGU